UUUCAAGAGAUAAAAAGAGACAGAAUGUCGUCAUCAUCAUCGAUUUUGACGCCGACACAGAAGAGCGCGGCUGGAGCUCUGUUUGAGCUGGCGCUGCAUCAGGCUCAAAUCCACCAGACUCAUCCAUUGGGCUUUUCCUCUGUUGACAACGACGGCCGCUCGUGGGAGGACCUAGUGAGCAGUGCCGACUCCGUUUCGGAGGAUUCCCAGCUUUGGGUCCACGAGUCCUCAUGCCUCUUCGCCCAAUUUUCAAGUAAUCGUUUCCUACUCUUGAUAACCUGUGUGUGUAUAUACCUGGCCAUGCAUGCAUGGAAGUGUUGCUUGCGGGUCUGUCAGUUUUCUUAUGCAGUUGCAAAAAUUAUGCGGGUUUAGUUAGGGAUAACAAAUUACAGUGGCAAACUUUCAUUUGAGGCUGAUAACUGAACAGAUUUCUAGAAAUUGAUAACAAAGCUUGGUCUGGACUCGAGGAAACUUUUGUAUCUUCACCACCAAAGUAUCAUGUAGGAGAGGUAAGUUCUUUACCUUCUUUUUGUUGGAAAAUUGCUGCAUAAAUUAUUGAUAUACAAAUUACGGGAAAGAUUUUUGACUUACCGAAAUCAUAAUAUGUGCAUGAAAUUAAUGUUGGAAAAAAUUGGGUUUUAAUUAAUUGGUUUGACCAACUUUUGACCAAUUAAUUUAGUGGGCCCCGUUAAUCGGAUAUAAGAUUUCUUUGGCCGAAUGUGUUCUACUCCAUGAGUAGAUUAAUAUGGUAUAUUUAUUUUCUCAAAACCAAUUUAGGGUGAAUGAGAACCUACUUGAUGUUGAAAUAAAAUAGGUGAAAAAUUGGAAAAUACCAAUUCCACUUAGGAAAACUAGAAGAAUAUAAACCACUUUAUAUAGCUCAAGUUUGGGAUUUGGGUUUGGGUCCCACGGGGUACCAAUAGUCUUUGAGGGGGAGAGAACCUACAUGCUAGUAGGUUAAGCCAAAGCCCACACGCGCGUGUCGCCGCCGUCCGUCCGACCGGCCAGCUUGGGCCAAGCUGAUAUAUAUUUUUUGAUAAAAUAACAUUUGAAUUAUAUUAUUUUAUUAUUAUUUAAUAAUAAUAAUAUAUUUUUUAUGUUAUUAUUUUUUCUUCCCCUAAUUUUCUGUAUUUGACACGUGGUGCUUCUAGAAUUUGGCGGUUGAAUGUCUAAUCGGUUGUGGCGGUUGACUGUCCAAACUGUUUGUGUCUUUUGGACACAGCUUUUCGACAGUUGUGUCUGUUGGGACACAACCUUUCAACAUCUAUAUAUAGGCCCCCAUACCCCGAUUUUAAUUCAUUCUAAAAUCAGAAUUGAUUUUCUACUCUCCCGAAAUUAUCCCAUUGUCCCUGCAUCAUUUCUGUUUUUAUAAUUCAGUCCUCAAAAAUUAUUUUCAUGCAUUUUAGUCAUCUUAUGUGUGUGGAGAGAUCUAAACUUUACGGGUUCAUCGGGUCUUGUAAUUUGGAGUACUACUAUUACAAAAUGAGGUCGUUGUAUCUUGGAAAACGAGUGCUGCAAUACCAUCAGUACCAGUUCAGGACAUUAUCGUUUUAAGGAGAAAGAGUCGAACUCUUGCCUCGACCAUUCAAAACCAUCCAAACGUCGUUACUUUGCCCAAAUAUACAUUACGGUGACACUAUUAUUUGCCUAUAUUAUUCAACAAUCUUAAAAUGAUAAUGGCAAGUACGUCUGUUGUACCCCCUAGUACGUCUGUCGUACCCCUUAACAUGCUCACGGGGAGAAACCGAAAAAAUUCACGGGAGUGGAUUUGAAGAGAUGGCAACAGAAAAUGUUGUUCUAUCUCACGACUCUGAAUCUAGUCAAAAUCUUGAGAGAAGAUGCUCCAACUGUUGAGGAGAAGGAAACAGAUUCUCGAAAACGAGCAGCAUUCGAUACUUGGAGUCAUAGUGACUUCUUGUGCAGAAAUUACAUCCUCAAUUGCCUUGACAACACACUAUACAACGUAUACUGUUCCGUCAAAACGGCUAAAUUACUAUGGGAGUCAUUGGAAAAGAAGUACAAAACAGAAGAUGUCGGAUUGAAGAAAUUCGUUGUAGGCAAAUUCCUGGACUUCAAAAUGGUAAAUUCUAAAACAGUAAUGACUCAAGUCCAAAAGAUACAACUUAUCUUGCACGAUAUACAUGCAGAAGGCAUGAAACUCUGUGAACCAUUUCAGGUAGCUGCAAUUAUCGAAAAAUUGCCACCAAUGUGGAAAGAUUUCAAGAACUAUCUGAAACAUAAACGCAAGGAAAUGGAAUUUGAAGAUUUGAUUGUUAGAUUAAGAAUUGAGGAAGACGUUCAAAAUGCUGAAAAGAAGUCUGGAAAGCAACAAAUGGAGGCUAAAGUUAAUUUGGUGGAGCCAAAUACUAGCAAGAAAAGGAAGCACCCGAAUAAUGGCAAGCAAAAGAGCAAGGCCAAGAAAUUCAAAGGAGAUUACCAUAACUGCGGUAAGCCUGGUCAUAUUACAAAGGACUGUCGGCAGAAAAAGCAAAACAAAAAGGACCAAAUGCACUUGACUGAAGAAGACAGACUGUCUAACGGAGUGUUUGAACUAAUGCUCUCGGAUGUUGUAUUUGAAGCAAACAUAGUGGAUAAUCUGAGAGAAUGGUUUGUUGAUACUGGCGCUACUCAUCACAUUUGUGCGGAUAAGGAGAUGUUUUCAUCUUACACUCCUAUCAAUGGAUGACAAUUUUUCAUGGGCAACUCAGCAACAUCAAAAGUUAUUGGUCUAGGUAAAGUAGUGCUGAAGAUGACAUUAUGGAAAGAAGUAACACUCAUCGAUGUGCUGCAUGUUACCGAUAUUCGCAAAAACUUGGUAUCCGGAGCUCUGUUAAGCAAGAAUGGGUUUAGGCUGGUAUUUGAAUCUGACAAGUUUCUACUCACCAAAAAUGGCAUGUUUGUAGGCAAAGGGUUACUUAGCCAAUGGGCUAUUCAAAUUGAAUGUAAUGUCUGUACUCCGUGAUUUUGAUAUUAAUAAAAAUAAAUCUUCUGCUUACUUGAUUGAGUCUUCUAAUUUAUGGUAUGAUAGGUUAGGACAUGUAAAUGUUAAUACUUUACGAAGAUUAGUAAGUUUAGAUUUAUUUCUUUCUAUGUCCUUUGAUCAAAAUCAUCGAUACGAAAAUGUGUAGAGGCUAAAUUAGUGAAAACACCGUUUCAUUCAGUUGAAAGAACUCGAAUCCUCUAGAACUAAUUCACAGUGAUAUUUGUGAUUUAAAAUUUUUGCAAACUAGAGGAGGUAAAAAGUAUUUUAUUACUUUUAUAGAUGAUUGCACAAGGUAUUGUUAUGUCUUUUUGCUAAGGAGUAAAGACGAGGCUUUAGAAGCAUUUAAACAGUACAAGAAUGAGGUUGAGAAUCAACUAAGCAAACGAAUAAAAAUUGUUCAUAGUGAUAGAGGUGGGGAAUAUGGAGCACCGUUUGAUGAAUUUUGUUCAGAUUAUGGGAUUAUUCAUUAAACUACAGCUCCUUAUUCACCUCAAUCAAACGGUAUUGUGGAACGCAAGAAUCGUACUCUAAAAGAGAUGAUGAACGCUAUGUUGGUUAGUUCUGGUUUACCACAAAAUUUGUGGGGGGAAGUAAUUCUCUCAGCUAAUCACAUUCUAAAUAAAGUACCACACAAAGGUAGAAACGAAACUCUUUAUGAGGUAUGGAAAGGUCAUAAACCUUCGUACAACACUUAAAAGUGUGGGGGUGUUUGGUUAAGGUACAAAUACCAAAGCCUAAACAUGUUAAAAUAGGGCUUAAAACCAUCGAUUGCAUAUUCAUUAGAUAUGCUAAUAACAGUAGUGCUUAUCGGUUCCUCAUACAUAAGUCUGACAUUCCGGAUAUACAUGAAAAUACUAUCAUUGAAUCUAGGAAUGCUGUAUUUUUUGAUGACAAGUUUCCUUGUAAAGAUAGGCAAGAAAUAAGCCCAUAAAAACGAACUUAUGAUUCUGCAAUUAGUAAUCCUCAAAGUGAUGAAGAACCAAGAUGCAGUAAAAGAACCAAAACAUCUACAUCUUUUGGUCCAGAUUUUUUAACUUAUAUAUUAGAAAAUGAACCUAGGACAUUCAAUGAAGCAAUGUCUAGUCUAGAAACUCCAUUCUGGAAAGAGGCUAUCAAUAGUGAAAUUGGUUCUAUUAUGUAGAAUCAUACCUGGAAAUUGGUAGAUCUCCCACCUGGUAAUAAACCAUUAGGUUGUAAAUGGAUUUUCAAAAGAAAAUUAAAGACUGAUGGAUCAUUUGAUAAAUACAAGGCCAGAUUGAUAGCUAAAAGAUUCAAACAAAGGGAAGGCCUUGAUUUUUUCGAUACAUACUCACAUGUGACAAGGAUAACAUCAAUUAGAGUAUUAAUUGCAAUCACAGCAUUGCAUAGUUUGGGAAUCCAUCAGAUGGACGUCAAAACGGCUUUCUUAAAUGGUGAGUUAGAAGAAGAAAUUUGCAUGGAACAACCCGAAGGGUUCAUCGCUCCUGGACAGGAGAAAAAUGUGUGUAGACUCGUCAGAUCAUUAUAUGGACUAAAACAAGCGCCAAAACAAUGGCAUGCAAAAUUUAACAAAACUAUGUGUCAAAUGGUUUUAAGAUUAACGAAUGUGAUAAAUGUGUUUAUAUUAAAACCACACCUAAUGCAUAUGAAAUUGUAUGUCUAUACGUUGAUGACAUGUUAAUUGUGGGUAGUAGUUAUGAUAUGAUAACAAAUACUAAGAAAAUGUUGACAAAACAUUUUGACAUGAAAGAUAUGGGUAUUGCAGAUGUAAUAUUAGGAAUAAAAAUUCUUAAAACAUCUGAGGGACUUAUAAUGUCUCAAUCUCACUAUAUUGAGACUGUACUUAAAAAGUUUAAUAUGUAUGAUGAUAGUCCAGUUAAAAUACCAGUAGACUUAAGUCUACAUUUGGCCAAACAUAAGGGCGAAACCGUAUCUCAAUUAGAAUAUUCUCGGAUAAUAGGCAAUUUAAUGUACAUUACAAACUGCACUCGUCUGGAUAUUACAUGUGCAGUAAACAAACUUAGUAGAUAUACAAGUAACCCAAAUAAUGACCAUUGGAAAGCACUGGUAAGGGUUCUUAGAUAUCUACGAUACAUCUCAAAUGUUGGAUUACAUUAUACGAGAUAUCCAACUGUAUUAUAAGGAUACAGUGAUGCUAAUUGGAUAUCAGAUACAAAAGACUCAAAAUCCACUAGUGGGUAUGUUUUUACCAUUGGUGGUGCGGCGGUAUCUUGGAAAUCCUCUAAAUAAACAUGUAUAGCUCGAUCUACAAUGAAAUCUGAAUUCAUAGUUUUAGAUAAAGCUACAGAGGAAGCAGAAUGGCUUCGAAAUUUUUUAGAGGAUAUUCCAUGUUGGCCUAAACCUGUGCCUGCAAUUAGUAUACAUUGUGAUAGUCAGUCGGCCAUCGGUAGAGCACAAAGUAGUAUGAUAAUGGUAAGUCUCGACAUAUUCGUCGAAGACAUAAUAUAGUUAAGCAGCUUAUCUCAAAUGAUGUUAUUUCCAUAGAUUUUUUAAAGUCCAGAGAAAAUCUUGCGGAUCCGCUUACCAAAGGCUUACCAAGAGAUCAAGUAUACUGCCUAUCAAGGGAAAUGGGCUUAAAGCCUACUACAUAAGAAUCUUUGUAAUGGUAACCUAACCUUGCUGACUAGAGAUCCCAAAAUCUCGGUUCAAUGGGACAACUAAGUUAUGAAAAUUCAAUAAGCACUUCGGAGUUAACUCCUACCCAUUCCUAUGAUAAGGAAGUGCUAUGUGCAGAAAGUUUUAGGUUAAGUUAUACUUUUAAUGAUUCCUAUAUCUUGGACUACCUAAGUGGAGUAUGGCAGGUACUCUUAAUAGGAGAUCAACUAUACAAGUGUGAAGUGUGGCCGCUUCUAUGAGAAUGUUUCAAAGGUUUGAAUUCUCUAAAGUACUUAUGAAAUCGAAGAGUUGUUCAGGGCCAAAAUGAACACAACAGUGAGAACUCGAAAAUGUUAGGAAGGUUAUUGUGUUGCUACUAUUGUCUUGGUUUACAAAAACAGCUGACAAUUCAAGACACCGCGUUCACUGAUUAGCCAAAUAAAUCCGAUAGUAUUCUACUACGGAAGGUUCAAACCCAUAAGGUACUUAUCCAGAUGCGAUAACAUUCCGCCUGAUCUCUCUAUAGGGUCUGCAUAUUCUAUUGCAUUAAUUUCCAUUCAUGUGGGGGAUUGUUGGAAAAAAUUGGGUUUAAAUUAGUUGGUUUGACCAAUUUUUGACCAAUUAAGUUAGGGAGUCCCGUUAAUCGGAUAUAAGAUUUCUUUGGUCGAAUGUGUUCUAAUCCAUGAGUAGAUUAAUAUGAUAUAUUUAUUUUCUCAAAAUCAAUUUAGGGUGAGUGAGAAAUUAAGGCCAAAAGAUGCCCACUUGAUAUUGAAAUAAAAUAGGUGAAAAAUUGAAAAAUACCAAUCCCACAUAGGAAAACUAGAAGAAUAUAAAUCACUUUAUAUAGCUCAAGUUUGGAACUUGGGUUUGGGCCCCAAGGGGUACCAACAGUCUUUGAGGGGGAAAGAACCUACAUGCUAGUAGGUUCAGCCAAAGCCCACACACGCGCAUAUAUAUUUUUUGGUAUAAUAACAUUUGAAUUAUAUUAUUUUAGUAUUAUUAUUUAAUAAUAAUAAUAUAUUUUUUAUGUUAUUAUUUUUUCUUCCCCGAAUUUUCUGUGUGUGACACGUGGUGCUUCUAGAAUUUGGCGGUUGAAUGUCUAAUCGGUUGUGGCGGUUGACUGUCCAAGUGACGGUUGACUGUCCAAGCUGUUUGUAUUUUUUGGACACAACUUUUCUGCAGUUGUGUCUAUUGGGACACAACCUUUCAACAUCUAUAUAUAGGUUCCCAUACCCCGAUUUUAAUUCAUUCCAAAAUCAGAAUUGAUUUUCUACUCUCCCGAAAUUAUCCCAUUGUCCCUGCAUCAUUUCUAUUUUUAAAAUUCAGUCCUCGAAAAUUAUUUUUCGUGCAUUUUAGUCAUCCAGUGUGUGUGGAGAGAUCUAAACUUUACGGGUUCGUCGGGUCUUGUAAUUUGAAAUACUACUAUUACAAGACGAGGUCGUUGUAUCUUAGGAAACGAGUGCUGCAAUACUGUCAGUACCAGCGCGGGGCAUUAUCGUUUUAAGGAGAAAGAGUCGAACUUUUGUCUCGACCAUCCAAACGUUGUUACUCUGUCCAAAUAUACAUUACGGUGACACUAUUAUUUGCCUGUAUUAUUCAACAAUUAAGUAAUUUAAAGUUUCACUAAAGUGUUAGAAAUUUUAGAAAUUAGAAGGAGAUAAAAUGAAGUGAGGCAUGAGAUUGUAAUUUUACCCAUCUCCCAAGACAGUGUUGAACCUAGACAUUUUCUAUUAUGGGAUCAAAAAUAGAAAUGCAAUUUAAAAAAAAAAAAAUAACAUUAAUGAAAAUAAGUCAAUACACUACUACAAUUGUAGCCUACGCAUAUUCAAACUGUAGAAAACCAAGAAUGGAAAGAAAAUAGAGACUGGAAAAAUUUGUAAUUGAUAGCAUUAUUGGUAGGAUCAUCUUUUCCUUACUUAACAGAUUUUAUUUUUCCUUUUUUUUCCUAUACGUUGUAAUAUAAAUAGGUUGUAGUAGAGGUGUAAUUACUAUCAAGAAAUAGAAGAGAAUUCUUGUUUCAUUCUUCAUUGUAUCAAAGCCUAGGUUCCCCUAACCUAGCAAACCGAUGGUAGAACUCCCCUUCAACUGCCAAGAAUCAAUGACCUCUGAAACUUCUCAUCCCGAAGCAGAGGCCAAUCCUUCUAUUGGCUCCAAUAAUCUCGAAAAUUCUUCCUUCCAACUCAUAGUAGAAAAAUUAAAUGGAAGAAAUUUUAGAGAAUGGGCCCAAUCUAUAAAAUUGGUAAUCGAAGGAAAAGGAAAAUUGGGUUACUUUAUCGGCGAUACAAAAAGGCCAUACGAUGCUGCGAGUCUGCAGAAGUUGAAAUUUGAGAAUUCAAUGGUGAUAGCAUGGCUUGUCAAUUCCAUGAAGCCUUCAAUAGGGAAAACUUACCUCUUUCUUCCAACAACCAAAGACACGUGGGACGUUGUGAAAGAAACAUACUCCAAUGCUGAAGGCGCAUCAUAAAUUUUCGAAAUCAAAACCCGUUUGUGGCAAACAAAGCAAGGAUCGAGGGAUGUUAUUGAAUUGUACAUGGAUAUGGUGUCCCUAUGGCAAGAACUCGACCUUAGUCUGGAGGAAGAAUGGGAUUGUCCAAGUGAUUGUGAAUGGUACAAGAAAAAAGUUGAGAAUGAAAGAGUAUUUGAGUUCCUGGUCGGGCUAAACCAAGAACUUGACGAUGUAGAGGCAGGGUCCUAGGCCGGUGACCACUACCGUCCACCCGCGAGGUGUUUGUAGACGUUUGAUGAGAAGAAUCACGACGGCAGUCGGCAAGUCAUGUUGAAAGAUUCAUCUGGGAUGAAUAAUGAAAUGUCGGCUUUAAUUAGACAGCUUGGGCCACAGUUUUUCAAAUAAAAUGGGCCUGCCAAUCUUGUUGAAUACAUCGUUCGAAUAAAAUCAUAAAACCAACCAAAUCGAGUGAUUUCACUUCAUCUAUUCAGUUUUCCAUAAUUUAACAAAAAUGAUAAAUAAAAUAAAGAUGGCUAAUUUCGUUAACCAUAGGAAGACUUUCAAAACCUAUAAUUUCAAACAUUCUGCCAAAAUCAACUGCAAUGUCAAAUCUCAAACCCUCAAUCAUGAAUAAUAACAUAGAGAAGUAAAAGGAGAGAAAAUCAAAUACAAAACCAGUACAUCAAACGUAAUAAUUGAAAAUGUAAAAUUUCAUACUUGAUUGAAGAAUAGAUAAUAGAGAUUGGAUAUUGGAGAAGAAGGAUUUAUUUGGAUUGAAGAAUAGAGAUUGGAGGAGGGUUUAUUUGAGUUGUGUAUUCUAAAUGCGAGGAAGAAAAAGAGAGUUAUCAUUAGUAAAGACAGAAGAGUUCGGGUAAAAUUACUUAUUUUUGGGAAAAAAGAAGAAUAAAAGGUCAAAAAAUUUUGGGGGUGGAUCCGCCCAUGUCUCAAGAUACAACUUCUUCCAAAAAGAAUAUAGCACAAUACUAAUUUUGCAUGAUCGUACUUUACUACUUUGCUAAUUUUGCUUUAUGCAUACUAGAAUUUCGGAAAUUUUGAAAUUUUUUUUUAGCUCACCGAACAUAAUGUUUCUGACUCCACGAUAACAUUUUCUAAAGAAAUCGUAUCGGUUCACAAUUUGGACGAGGGUUGGUACCAUUUCAAUAUGCUUAGGCUUUGACCACCAGCAUUUGUGUAUCACGAUGUACAUUGUCAUAUCACUUUGAGUUACUACAAGAAAUUUGUGGUUACCGUAUGUUGUGCUACCCUAUGCUUAUAUGAGACAUAUGAUUGUUAAAUGCAAUUACAGAAGUGUUAAGAGCAGAUUCCAGAAUUAAUUCGCUUACAACAAAAAUUGCAUAAAAAUUAAAGUUGCAGAAGUAAAACAAUUAGAAAGACCGUAGAAAAUUUUUCGCCCUAAAGCAAGAGGUUCAGAGCAAGCGUCUAAUCCCCUUUUGUGCUUCCACCACUGGAAAAAUUACUGCAUUAAACUGAAACCAAUGAACCAUCCAAGAAUAUACAGAUGCGAGACUCAAGCCAGAAUACACUCAAGAUUACAUAUCAAAACCCUCACUAAUCAUCUAACAGUUCACUCAAGAACCCAGAUGCGAAAUCAGUAAGUAUAAUAAUCACUCAAGACAAAUGAUACAUUAUUUCUACUUGAAGAUUUAAGAUCUUCAAGUUGUAAACACAAACUGUAAGGGUUAAAUUCACGGGACUCAGAAAUCUCGAAGAAUGAAUGAGAGGAAAAAUUCAAGGAUCGACAGAGAGAGAACUCAAUAGUCGAAGAAGAUGAAAGACUGAAACCCUAGGAGCCAAGAGACGCAUAUAUAUCAGAAGUCUCCAGAAAAUCAUCAUCCAAUGGUAGCAAUGGUGACACUUGGCAUGAUCCAUAUCAUUUGUUCCAUUUCUAAAAGCGUGUUUUUGAGAACACAAUUUAUUACCAACUAAAUUGAGUCAGACAAGUCAAAAUAGGGCCAUCCAGUCAACAAUAGAUCCACAUCAUUGUGCCAUUACCUCACAAUCUCCACCUUGGUACAAUGACCCCAGUUUACAUGCAGUAAAAUCUCCAGACAUGAUAUCAUUUGCACUUAUUACCUGAUACACAAAUAAGCAAGUGUUAAUAUUCAAAAGAUUUAAACAAUCUAAAAAUUUGUUUAAAGUCGAAACCUUUGUACCAAUAUCAGCAGGAUUAAACUGGGUUGAAAUCUUUUCAAGUUUUACGGCACCUUGUGAAAUAACAUCUCUUAUAAAAUGGAAUCUAACAUCAACAUGUUUAGAUCUAUUAUGCAAAACAGGAUUUUUACUUAAAUGAAUGUCAGAUUGGCUAUCUGAAUAAAGAACAACUGCUUUUAUAAAUCGAAAUUCAUUUAACAAGCCCUUCAGCCAUAUCCCUUCUUUUAUGGCAUCUGUGGUAGCUAUGUAUUCUGCCUCAGUAAAAGAUAAGGCAAUAAUCUUUUGCAGUUGGGAUAUCCAGCUUAUACAAGAAUUACAAAAUGUAUACAUGUAGGCAAAAGUGGACUUUUUAUUGUCCCUAUUAUCAGCAUAAUCAGAAUCAGUAUAGCCUCUUAACACAACACCUUCAGGUUGUUUUCUGAACACAAUUCCCAAAUCAGAGGUACCCUUUAUGUAUCUAAGAAGUCAUUUCAUGGCUUCCCAAUGAGCUUCACCACGAUUUGACAUAUAUCUACUCAAUACACUUGUAGAAUAUGCUAAAUCUGGUCUAGAACAAACUAUAAGGUACAUAACAGACCCAACUGCAUUAGAAUAAGGCACUCUAGUCAUUCUUUCAAAUUCUUCUUGUGAUUAUGGACAUUGAUCAUUAGAAAGUUUGAAAUGAUUAGCUAAUGCUAAACUCACACUUCCAGAAUCAGACAUAGCAAACUUAUCUAAUAAUUUCAGCAUGUAUGAUUUUUGGCUAAGACUUAGUGUGCCUUCCCUCCUAUUUCUUUUAACUUCAAUACCCAAAAUUCUUCUUACUGGACCUAAGUCCUUCAUUUCAAAUUCUGAUUUCAGUUUGUUUUUAAUAUCUUCUAUCUCUUUUAUGUCAUGACUUGCUAAUAGCAUGUCAUCUUCAUAAAGGAGCAAGUAAAGUGAAUUUUCUCCACCACUUCCUUUACAGUAGAUGCAGGUAUCAAAGUUACUCCUCUUAAAACCAAGUCUAAGGACCAAAUUGUCAAAUUUUUUAUACCAUUACCUAGGAGCUUGUUUUAAGCCAUUUAAGGACUUUUUAAAAAGGCAAACUAAGUAAGCUUUCUUAUUUAUUUCAAAACCUUAAGGUUGCUUCAUGUAGAUAGUUUCAUCUAGAUCUGCAUUUAAGAAAACUAUUUUGACAUCCAAUUGAUCUAGUUCCCAAUUAAAUUGAGUGGCUAAGGCUAGAAUAACCCUAACAGUUGUAAAUUUUACAACUGGAGAGAAAAUUUCAUUAGAAUCAAUUCCUUCUUUUUGUGUAAAACCCUUUGUCACUAACCUAGUUUUAUACCUGAUGUCAUUAUCACUUUGUUCCCCCUUUUAAUCUUGAAAAUCCAUUUACAAUCAACUAUUCUUUUACCUUCAGGUCUUUUCACUAAAACCCAAGUUUUGUUCUUUUUAAGUGAUUGCAUUUUAUCUUGCAUUGCUGCAAGCCAUUGUUUAGAAUUUUUACUAUUUAUAGCUUCCUUAAAAGACUCAGGCUCAUUUUCAAUCAUACUUUGAUGGGAUAGCAAAGAAACAUCUUCUUCAAACCUAAUUGGAGGUCUUAUCUGUCUUCUUUGUCUAUCCCUAGCCAAUUGAUAGUUAUCUAGGGUCUGAUCAGUUUCUAAUUCGGCUUCAGUUUCAUCAUUCUGAACAAUGUCAUCAAGUAUUUCCUCAUUUCCCUCAUCAGGUUGAGCAUUAGUCUGAUGUGUUUCCUGAUCAGAUUGCUCCACCUCAAGUUCAACUCCUCUUCCCACAUUUUCAGUCUAACUUAAGGGCUGUAUUUUAUUUUCAGAUUUAAGAUAGGGCAGAUCAUCCUCAUUAAAUACCACAUUUCUACUAAUUAUGAUCUUAUAACCUUUAUUUUCUCUUACCCAUAGUCUAUACCCCUUCACCUCUUCACCAUAGCCCACAAAAACACAUGUAAGAGCCCUUGGUUCUAAUUUGCCUUCAGAUUGACGUGCAAAGUCUACAAAUCCAAAAACCCUCAAGUUACGGAAGUCUACUGGUUUUCCACUCCACUUUUCUUCAGGUGUAUAGCACUAGAAGGGCUUCUAUUGAUCAAAUAACUAGCAGUUUUAAUCGCUUUCCCCCAAAAAAUCUUAGGUAGGCCAAAGCUUAAGAGCAUACAUCUCACCUUUUCAAGUAUAUUUCUAUUCAUUCUUUUUGCCAAACCAUUUUGUUGUGGGGUGUGUGCUUCUGUUCUAUGUCUUAACAUGCCAGAAGAUUUGCACAACUCAUCAAAUUCAAAGUUAUAGAAUUCCAAACCAUUAUCAGUUCUUAACACCUUAAUCUUUUUCUCAGUUUGGUUUUCUAUCAAGGCUUUCCAAUUUUUGAAAACAUUAAAUGUGUCAAAUUUUGAUUUUAAUAGAAAAACCCAAUUUUUUCUAGAAAAAUCAUCAAUAAUUGAUAGGAAAUGUUUAAAAACCAGAAUGAGUUGUUACGAAAGCUGGUCCCCAAAGAUCAGCAUGCAAAUAUUCAAGUACAGUCGCAGAUUUAUGCAUCCAGGCAAAAAAGGUAAUCUUUUGUGUUUUCCAAGAAUGCAGUAGUCACAAAAACUAAGUUUUUCUAUGUUAUCUUUUCCAAAGGCACCAUGUCUUUUCAAAAUCUGUAGCCCUUUGUCACUAAUAUAGGCCAAUCUUUUAUGUCAUAUUUGUGACUUAUCAUUUUGGACUGAGAUUGUUGCUGAUGUUGUGUCCCAAAAGUUUUCAGUUUGUAAAAUGUACAGGCCAUGUCUCUUAGGGGCUUCAACAAUUACCUGUGAACCCCUUAAGAUCUUAAUGUAUCCCUUGUUAAUUAAAGUGUCAUAGCUGAGGUCAUCUAGAACCCCUAAGGAAAUCAGAUUUCUUUGUAAAUCAGGAACAUAUCUAGUUUUUUCCAAAACCAGUUCAUUACUUCCUUUAACUUUCAAAGUGAUAGUCCCUAUUCCUUUAACUUGACAUGUCAUAUGAUUACCCAUUAAGACUUUACCUCCAGUUACAUUUUCAAAAUCAGUGAACCACUCUUUAUUUGGACACAUAUGGUACGUGCAGCCUGAGUCAAGAAUCCACUCUUGAUAAGGUGGACAGUUUACAACUACAUAAACUUCAUCAAUUAAAGUCUCAUUGUUAUAUGCUAAGGCUGCACCACCAUCCUCUUUAGAUUUAUUUUUCAAAUCACCAAGUCUCUUUGGACAAUUUUUAAUGAAAUGACCCUCUCCAAGGCAAUAGAAACAUUUCUUUCCUUUGGUCUUUGAUUUCAUUUUAUCCUUAAAAUUUUUCUUUUUCUUGUGUCGAGGUUUCUUAUUGAAGUUCACUGAUUUUGGAUUAAACUUGGACUUAACUAUCAAAUUCUCCCCAUUGAUAGAUUCCUUUCUCUCAAAUUUUAACUCAAACUCUUUAUUCCUUAAGGCAGUAAUUAUAACAUCUGUAGUUAGAGUUUCCCUCCCAUAUUCAAUGCCAUUUUUAACAUCUUUAUACUAAUCACUAAUUGAAUUUAACAAUACCAUAGCCAACUGAUCUUUUGAGAGUUUCUCAUAACAGUCGGCUAGGUCACCGGAUAAUCUAUUAAAUCUAUCAAUAUUAACCUCAAGAUCAAGUGAUGGGUCAAGUUUAAGACCAAAACUUUGUUUUAGAAGAUACACUUUAUUUGGCAUAGAUUUAUUUAGAUGUGUAUCUUCUAACUUUUUCCACAAUUCAACAGCAGUUUGAGUCUCACCAAUUUUCCUAAGUACAUUAUCAGAUAAAUGCAAGAAUAUUGAGCUUCAGGCAGUUUCAUCAAGUUCAGUUAUCUUUAUCUCUUCUAAAUCAUCUGGCCAUGACUCAUUAAUAGCCUUUGCACAUUUUUGUUGUAAUAAAAUUGCCCUCAUUUUCUGGCGCCAGAGACUAAAGUCUCCUUUGCCGUUAAAAACAUCAAAUUCAAAUUUUGUAGUUGUCAUAAAAAAAAUUUGUUUGGAUGCAGUUUCAAUGCAUGCAGAUUAGAGACACACUUCAAAGUGUAUAUUCAAUGUACAAUACUUCAGAUUUACAUAAGAAACCAACUGAAUGUACAAUAUCACCUAUUGCAGAUAAUUUCAGUAUUCUCACGGAGUUUGAUUUACAAUAAUGCACUUUAGAGGAUCCCAAAUUAUACAGAUUAAGUACAGGUAAUCACAGUAUGCAAUAUACAACAAUAGAGGUCACAAACAUGUACUUAAAUGAAAGAUCUUUGACUUAGUCAAGACAACCCUCAUAUUCCAGACAACUCAAAAGGUUUCUAGACAAAGGAAUUGCCAAGAGAGUCUCAGAUCUGAAAGUUUUUGUCACGAUUACUAGUAACUCAAGGUAUAAGCAAGUACUCUAUAUAAUGAAAGAAAAAAUGGAACGAACUCACCGAAUAACUUAGUUAGGGUUUCAAAGAAAUAUCAAAUAUGUCAUUGUACAAGUGUUUAAUCUUUCAGAUCUGCAAGAAUCGAGGCCAAGAGCCACAGCUUAAUUGCUCUGAUACUACUAUUAAGAGCAGAUUCCAGAAUUAAUUCGCUUACAACAAAAAUUGCAUAAAAAUUAAAGUUGCAGAAGUAAAAAAAAAAAAAAAAAAACUCAUAAAAUUUUUCGCCCUAAAGCAAGAGGUUCAGCGCAAGCUCCUAAUCCCCUUUUGUGCUUCCACCACCGGAAGAAUUACUACAUUAAACUGAAACCAAUGAACCGUCCAAGAAUAUAUAGAUUCGAGACUCAAGCCAGAAUACACUCAAGAUUACAGAUCAAAACCCUCACUAAUCAUCUAACAAUUCACUCAAGAACCCAGAUGCGAAAUCAGUAAAUAUAAUAAUCAUUCAAGACAAAUGAUACAUGAUUUCUACUUGAAGAUUUAAGAUCUUCAAGUUGUAAACACAAACUGUAAGGGUUAAAUUCAUGGCACUCAGAAGUCUCGAAGAAUGAAUGAGAGGAAAAACUCAAGGAUCGGCAAAGAGAGAACUCAAUAGUCGAAGAAGAUGAAAGAGUGAAACCUAGGAGCCAAGAGACGUGUAUAUAUCAGAAGUCUCCAGAAAAUCAUCAUCCAACGGUAGCAAUGGUGACACUUGGCACGAUCCAUAUCAUUUGCUCAAUUUGUAAAAGCGUGUUUUUGAGAACACAAUUUAUUGCCAACUAAAUUGAGUCAGACAAGUCAAAAUAGGGCUAUCCAGUCAGCAAUAGAUCCAUAUCAUUGUGCCAUUACCUCACAAGAAGUGCUCAUAAAUCCUGACAAUAGAGUAGUGAUAUUCUAUGAGGUCCCAAGAAUUGUUGCGGUAAAUGCAUAUGAGUUCUAAUACCAGCCUUUUUCUUCUAUUCAGUUCCUAAGGCCUCUUGCAGAGGAAAGUAGUGGUAUGUCUUCAGAAGCUGCAGAAAAGGAACAUGCUUUGGCGAAUGGCAUAGAUGCCAUUGCUUCGAGCAUGGGAAGAACAUCUAUUGAUGAAGAGUCCAAAAAGGAGAUGCAACUUGAGUAUAAGAAUGUUUGUCUGGAGAAGUUCUCGAGUGCCGAGACAGUGUCCAAGUCUAAACACGAAGAGGAAAAAGGGCCUGACAAUAGUCAGAAGGAGAUAAGUUACAACCCAUAUAUCACUGAACAAGCACAUAUACAAUCCAGCUUUGUAUUUGAUGAAAAACAAUUGGAAGAGGUAAGUUAUCCAAGGAAAGUGGAAGUUCUAUAGGAGCUUCUUUCAGCUUGUCUGGCAGAUACACCCAAAGGCGACAAGAAAUGUACCAGGCAAAGAAAGGGAUAUGAUGCAAGACACCGUGUGGCAUUACGGCUGCUAGCUGCCUGGUUUAAUGUGAAGUGGAUAAAAGUGGUACACUUAUUCGUUAUUGAUAUAUUCAAUUGUCCAGCUAUAUGUUGUGCUAACCAGACAAAAUUUCUAUUGGUACUGUAUAUAGCAUAAUAAAUUGUGUUAUAAUGCUUUAAGUUGAUUGUUACGGAUAAGAAUGCCAAGUAGUUUUGCACUUUGUAUGAGACAUGAUGGACCUAGCUGGGGAAUGUUAUAUUAUGUUAAAUUUACAUGCUAGGAUUGUGUCAGUGACAAGGAACAAAGAGGAUUCUGUGCGUCAAUAUGAAGCAACAGACCUUGUCUAGCUUGUGAAUUGAAUUGUUGGGGAAAUGUGAAGGAUUUUAUGUUAAUACCUUUGUAUGCAAGCAAAGAAAAGUGCAUACAUUGCUACUUCUGAAUCAAGCAUGAAAAAUGAUAUGGUCAUAAAUCGAUAAAGUCUUCUAGCAGCCUGACAGCAUGUGCCUUGGCUAAUUAGAAGAUCAAAUUUGUAGGUAUAUUCAAGUUUGUUUGAUCAAAUUGUUUCUUGCAUAAAAUAUGACGUUUCUCUUUCCAUUAAUGGUGUGCGAUCGUUUUUACCUGUUGUAAAAAUCUGUUAGAGUAUUCCGGGGAGUAUAAACAAAGUUGGUGUUGAUGGAAACUUUUUUCAAACAAAGAAAGCGAAUGUGAAUUGCCAAAGUUUUCCUGUUUUCCUGACCGAGACAUUUUGAUAAAAAAGUUUAAAGGAGAAAUAAUGACUUUUCUGUUGCCAUUAAUAGUGUGAUAUCUCUUUUACCUGUAGUAAAAAUCUGCUAAAAUAUUCUGCGUAUAACCAAGGUUGGUGUUGAUGCUCAAUGCUUUUUCGAAAUAAAGAAAACAAAUAUCACUUGACAUAGUUCUUGAUUUUGAUUUAGGGUUGGAUGACCAAGUCAUUCUUGUCCUAUAUUCUACUUCAAAUAUGUUAAUAAAACCUCACACAAUAUGUCAAACUUUCAUGUGAAGAGCAUUAUAUUGCUGUUGAGAAGAUGAUCCCAACUUAGAAUUUUUUGUAAGCUUCUAUAGUCAUAUGAUUUUGGAUCAGUUUUGCAUCUUGUCAUUUGUCUUCUCAAGCAAUUAUAUCUUCUCAGGAAGCCAUGGAAACCAUGGUUGUUUGUUCUGCAAUGGAUCUAAUAAAAGAGGAAGAAUCAGAGAAAGGAACCCAAUCUACAAAAGGCUCAUGGGCCAAUUGGAAACAUGGAGGUACCAUAGGUGCUGCUGCAUUAACGGGAGGAGCCUUAAUGGCAAUUACUGGCGGUAUGGUCCCUUUCACCUUCCUGGAUUGUUUGUGCAUUUGGACAUACUCCAAGAAAAAGCUCAGUUUUUUUUGGUCAAAGCAAACAAGUUUUUAUGAAAUAUACAUAUUUACUCUUUCACAUGUUCUUUACAUCAGGUUUAGCUGCUCCAGCUAUUGCUGCAGGGUUUGGUGCUUUAGCACCCACUUUAGGAACUAUAGUCCCAGUGAUUGGAGCAAGUGGGUUUGUUGCUGUUGCCACUGCGGUAGGAAGUGUUGCAGGUUCUGUUGCAGUUGCCACAUCUUUUGGUGGUGAGAACGCAGAUGAAUUGGUAGGAUAGCAAAAUAUCUGUCUGAAUUUUUUUCUUGUUAAGUAUCUUAAUAUAAAAUUUGUGACAGAUAUUACUGCUGCUAUGCUCUUUAUGCCAUAAAAUGACAAUUUAAAUGACCUCAAUCCAACUGAAUAAACAUCAGAUUUUUAUGUUGUUUAAUCCAAUCUGAUAUUUCUCUCUGAUAUUUCAAUCGACCAAGCUGCUGGAGCUGGACUUACAGGGAGUAAAAUGGCUAGGAGAAUUGGAGAUGUUGAUGAAUUUGACUUCAAAGCGAUAGGAGAAAAUCAUAACCAAGGAGUGAGUUUUAAAGCUUUGCCUAAAUAGAAAAUGGAAAAGAGAUUUGAUACAUUUUCAUGAAUUGAGAUCUACUGUCUAUUUCUGCUGUCCAUCCAUUUGUAAAUUGACACAUCAUGGAAAAUUAAAGUUGCCAUCAAUUUUAAUUUUCCAACCUAAGUAUCAAUUUUAUUUUUUCUUGAUGUGUCAAUUUGUAAUUGGGUGGACAGCAAAAAUGAACAGCAGAUCUCAACUCCAUUUUAAUACCUUUUGAUCUCUGGUAGCUUUUUUAAUUUGUUUAAUUGGAUAUUACAGUCCAGGUAGAAAUUUCUGCACUAUUUUAUUUUCGGCUUCUUAUGAAGUGGAACGUGUGUUUGUUUGUGGGCACUUGCAUUUUUUGUAUAUCCUCAUUUUAAGCCUACUUCGUCAGCGGCUACCAGUUGAGAUCUUGUUAUCCGGAUUUGCUUUUGAGGAGGACGAUUUUGUAAGACCUUAGGAAAGACAACAUGAUAACUUGGAGAGGUCUGGCUUGAUACCUUCUCUUGUUGAGGUCUUUUCCUACAUAUUUUAGUGCUACAACUGAUAAUAUCAAUGCUAUGAUAUCCUCCAUUGUUGAGGUCUGGCCUGCCAUGGUAGUCGGGCAAAGAAAGUGAAGUUAACACUAUCAUAUUAUUCUUUUGAAUUUUUAAAAAUUUUUCCAUGAAAUUCCUUGGCUAUGAUGUUGCAUGUCUCCUUACCAAAUGUAUAAUUGAACAAUUGACGGAUUACAGUUCCCUGGCUUCAUGAUUUCACUGUCAAUAAUGCUACGGAAUUGUAUUCUUCUGAAUGUUUUAUGACGCUGUUAUUUCUUUAUAUUUCUUAGGUAUACACUGCAGUGGUAGUCUAAGAAUCUAAUUUCUAUAAGCACAGGAAUUCAAGACUGGCUUACUUCAAGUAAGAGAUUUUGUCCUUGUAUUUGAAUAUAAUGCAUUAACUAGCUACCUCCACUGGAAUGUGGAAUGACAUAAACAUGACUAUUUGCUGCAGAAAUUGCCACGGAAAUGAUGAAGCAAUGUGCCAUGAUGACUGUACUAGGCAUGCUUGUAACAGCCUUUGCUGGGCCAACUACAUUACUUACUCUUACUGACUUUAUUGAUAGCAUAUGGGCAAUUUCUGUGGACAGGUUUUCCUAGUCACUUGAUAUCAAUAAGAUACCAAUGUCGAGAAGGGAGAUAAGCUGUUCAAAAAUUGAAACUGAAUGUUAGUGCUGGUAGGACAUAUGUACCUAGAUCUGCUGGAUCUAAGAUAUUGAACAAUAAAACCUAAAUUGUCAGUUGAGAAACGAUUUGACACUUUCAGUUAUCUUCUCUGAUAACAUUUUUCUUUAGGGGCGUGGGUAGGCAAAGCAUUUUCUGAAAAUGUCUGAAAUUUUUUGUUUUUUUGUGUUGCAGCUGUAUGACGUGUAGCAAGGACUAUUGUCUCUUUCUUAUAAUGUGAUGUCCAUGUUUAGAGUAAUCUUAUUUGAUUCUAUUUUGUAUAGAUCUGAUAAGGCUGGAAAACUGCUUGCUGAAGUAUUGUUAAAGGGGUUGCAAGGACAUAGGUACGCCAGUGGAAAAGAGGAAAUUGUGAUUAUUCUUAUUUAAUUACAUUCGAAGUCAGAGUUUACUGUUCCUCCGAUUUUCAUUUCUGGUUGUUCAAUCAAAAUUUGCAGGCCUGUGACACUCGUAGGUUUCUCACUUGGUGCAAGAGUUAUUUUCAGCUGCUUCAGAUUUUGCCUGAAAGUGAAAAUAGUGGUAACACAUUAAGCUGACCCACUAAUCUAUGGCACAGUUUAUUUGCUCCAUCCUAAAAUUAAAGACUAGAAAAAGUUAUAAAGAAAGGUGAAACAUAUUCAUCGAUUUAUAUUUUUUUAAUGUGCCACAUGCUCAUUUACAAUACGCCAAAUUAGACAAGAUGGUAGAUACACUUAAGAGUGUAUCUAUGUUUGGCAUGGUAUGUGUCCCUUAUUUGAUCUAUCAAUAGUCUAUCAUUUAUGCUUAAAACAAGCAUCUAUUGUUUCAUUCUUUGAGCAAUGCUGCUUGUACAGGCCACACACAAUACAGAGGGGUGGCUAAUUUCAUUUUUUUUAAAAUAAUCCCCCACCCAACAUGUGAGGGGCCUAUACAGCAGGCAAUUUCCUCCUCAGAAAUGGUUCACAUUCCAUCUAACUGAUGCGGGUAAAGGUGUUUCCAAUUUUCCACUCAAAUCACUAACAUCCCAUCUAAGUACAAAGACCUUAAUGUAAAGGCUUUAGUGCCAAUGUCAGCCAUCUAACACUUUGAACAAAAGAAUGAGGAAAUUGCCUAUUGUUCACAGGGGACAAAUCUCUCACAUGCUGGGUGGGGGAUUAUUUAAAAAAAAAAAAAAAAUUAUCCACCCCCCUGUUUUCACAGGGCCUGUACAGGUAGCACUACUCUUCUGAGGAUUGGAUAACUAGAACCUGCCGGCAUGGACUAACACACUUAAGAAUUAUUAGAGAAGUACUGUACCAGUACUGUGCAGUUCCUUCAACAAGCUACCAUAAACAUAGAACGGGUGAUGGCUCGAAGUUUUUUGAUAGAAUGACAUGCUAUGAUUGAUCUAUUUCUGCCGUUUAAUUACAAUUUAGUACAUGACAUGGGAUUUUACCUUAUUACCUAAUUGCUAGCUUUGUACUUAAAUAUCUCAUAGUUUUGUCUCUCAAUGUUAAAACUUCAAACCUGAGUAUAAGCUAAACAAAAAAGUACCUCCAGAUUUAAGAAUCCAAACAAAUGAUUCUGGAAAUUUCUACAGGAUGGAUAUCAAUUCUAUCUGCAUUGCAAAUUUAACUUCUUUUCAUAUAUGAUCCUGGGUCCUAUUAUUCUGAUGACUUAUAAUAAACAACAUUCCUUCCAAUCCCACCCCCCAGUUGAAGGUUUCAAAUAGUAAAUCAUGCCCUUUUAGACAACUUAGAUUUUAGAUAAAAUGUUGAUUCAGUAUGGCCUUAGAAUAGGCACAUGUCAUAGUAUUAAGAUUUACGGACUCCCAUUGCUAAUAGUUAAUUAAUAAAAUCAUGUGCUAAGCCUUUGAGAAAAAUAAACGUUGCCCGGAUGUCGUCGUCCUUCAAACAACUUGACUUUUUAGGUGGGAACUCGACCUCCAAAAGAAAAUCUCUUUUAAGUUCUGUAUUAUAAAAUACUGAUUCACUCCCCUAUUUUUUGUCAGCUGGACUUGUGGAAAGAGUUGUUCUACUUGGAGCACCCAUUGCAAUUAAAGAAAUGAACUGGGAAGCUACUCGGCAGGGAUUGUUGCUUUACCUUCUGCAUUCAUAUUCACAAAUAUUGAUAUUGUAUCAAUAAUAGGCACAUAUGCAUCAGUUACUGUUAUUGCAUAUGUUUAACAUUCUCUAUUAUGCAGGUGGUGGCUGGAAGGUUUGUGAAUGCAUAUUCUACCAACGAUUGGAUACUUGGAAUUGCGUUUCGUGCCAAGUAUGCAAGUCUUAAAUCUACUGUGAAAAUAUUAGGAUUGUGAAAUUGAUAGGUAGAUCACAUCUUGCUUUUGAAGUUGAGAUUUGUGCCUAACUGUGUCAAUAGAAGUAUCAAAACAAAAGAAGAAGUGAAUUUUUUUUGUCCAUUCUUUUGCUUAUUGAUUUUCGAUGUUGCCCUUUGCCUAUAACAGUCUUCUGACACUAGGAUUGGCAGGAAUUCAACCAGUGGAAGUGCCUGGAAUUGAAAAUGUAAAUAUUAUUCGUAAUGCUGGUCAACAUAGCGUAACAUAUGUUUGGGAUUUCAACCUUUAUCUCUCCAUUGUUUUUGACAGGUUAACGUAACUAGCAUAAUUGAUGGUCACUCUUUUAUCUUUGGAAUGCCCAGGAAAUCCUAGAACAGCUCGAACCGAUUUUCAGUCCUCCCCCUGUCAAAACAUAGUUUGUACUGAAAUUCUGGCAUAGAGUGCAAUUGCAUCAGAGGCUUUGUUCUUGUCGGAAAUGGAGGUUUGGAUCUAAUUUUAAGUGUUACCGUAGUCGGCUUGUGUAUUCUUGAACCGAGGAUAUUUCAUUAGUUACUGCUUGGUACUUCUAUAAAUUUCAUUUUAUCCUCAUUCUUUGCGCAAUAUGAAUCAUAAGAAUUGAACAAAUGAAACAGGUAAACAGGUGGUAAUAUUGAAGAUCUGUACUUGCUCGUGUUACUGAGGAGAUGAAGAGUGGCUAUAAAAGUGCAAAACAAAUGCUGGAGUUCCCAUACGAGAAAUUAAGUAGAUGCCAUAUUUUUGGAACUGAUACAAAUCAACAUUGCCAAGAAUGUAGAAUGUAAAAUGAAUAAUGUUAAUUUACAUAAACAUAAAAUGUCACAACAUGUAGAACUUUUAGCUUCAAUGAUACUAUAGUAUACUUUUCUACACUAACAUGAAAGUAUUUUGCACAUUGUUCUGAGAUUUUUUCAAAGUACUAUAAAAUUGUUACGUUUAGAUGUUUGCCAAA
Molecule: long non-coding RNA, 22255 nt
Filed under: Olea europaea subsp. europaea
Lineage: Eukaryota; Viridiplantae; Streptophyta; Magnoliopsida; Lamiales; Oleaceae
Source: RNAcentral